AGCAACCUCACAGUGAAUACCUGAGACAUCGUAGGUCAAAGGACCAGUCAUACAACUGCAGCAUAAGUAGUCACUGAUGAGUGGAUGACAUCCAUGUGACUACUAUCUUUGGUCACGCUCAGUACCUUGUUCUCUAACAAGUACUUGCAUAAUCACUCCAGUGUCUCUACACCGUGGACUCGAGACUCGUCCAUCUGACUAAGUGAUCUAUGCACUAAUCUCAGCGGAUCAAUCACCGUCCCUCGUGAUGGAUCCCUCGAUCAGGAGCAUUUAGAAAUUAAUCCCUAAUGACACAUGCCUCAAAUUUUCAACUUCUUGAAAUUAUGUGUCAUCAUCUAUUAAUUUCUUGGACGAUUCAUGGACACAUACAAACAUGAAUGAAAAAUAAAUUACCCAAUCUUAUUUAUUAAUAAGUGUCAAAUUACAAAUUUAUGCCCCAGAUUACAAAUAUGCGUCAGCCACAUUGGCUUAUAGGGCAUACUUCUAACAUGUUGUUCUGUCUUUCUCUGAGAGAGUCGACUUGAAGACUGCGUGAGUCGACUCGUGAAAGUGCCAAGCAUGCCAUUUGAUAAUUUCUUGUGCUAGAGUCGACUCCAACUCUCCAAGAGUUGACUCGAAGACUGUUCCUAGGCACUCUGAAAUUCAGAAUCUUUUUAAUUUGACUUCAAAACUUCUUGAAAUCUUCCGCCUACCCCGCAUUCUCAGCAGCGGACUUCCAGCCUUCCCGCAUUUCAUCCAUAGCGCGUCGUCCUCACCCGAGAUCAGCGUCCAUGAUCCUCUCACAACGAUCUCCCAGCAUCCGCGAUCAGCUCCCGAGCAUCUCUGUGCAUCCAUUUGAAGAAGAUCGGGAUUCAUGCCAAGCCUCCACACCUCAGCCUCCUCCGACCAUCCGCGAUCACUGCCCAGCCGUCCGCCUCCUCCACAGCAUCCGCGACCUCAUCCUUCCAACCUCACGCGCCCAAGAUCAGCCGUUCGCAUUGAUCUCCAAUGCAUCCCCAAGAUCCAUAGAGGGGGGAGAUGAGUAUAAGAGGUAGUCGGCUGAGAAAGGGGGGGGCAUCGAAGAAGAAGAACAGGGAGGAGCCGGGCUGCUGCAGUAGAAAGAAAAAAAAAAGUAGAAAGAAACAGGGGAUGCCCUGUUUCUGUUAUUAAAAAAAAA
Molecule: long non-coding RNA, 1156 nt
Filed under: Phoenix dactylifera (date palm)
Lineage: Eukaryota; Viridiplantae; Streptophyta; Magnoliopsida; Arecales; Arecaceae
Description: long non-coding RNA (PDAC_LNC007611)
Source: RNAcentral